RNAcentral lists this non-coding RNA (30 nucleotides) under Rattus norvegicus (Norway rat). Lineage: Eukaryota; Metazoa; Chordata; Mammalia; Rodentia; Muridae. The record is from RNAcentral.
UGCAAAGUGCUUAGCUCCUCUUAAUUGGUC